Molecule: transfer RNA, 71 nt
Filed under: Ligilactobacillus salivarius CECT 5713
Lineage: Bacteria; Bacillati; Bacillota; Bacilli; Lactobacillales; Lactobacillaceae
Description: Lactobacillus salivarius CECT 5713 tRNA-Gly
Source: RNAcentral
AGCGGGUAACGAGAAUCGAACUCGCGACACCAGCUUGGGAAGCUGAAGUUUUACCACUAAACUAUACCCGC